UACGGGGGGGGCAAGCAGUGUUCGGAAUUACUGGGCGUAAAGGGCUCGUAGGUGGCCAACUAAGUCAGACGUGAAAUCCCUCGGCUUAACCGGGGAACUGCGUCUGAUACUGGAUGGCUUGAGUUUGGGAGAGGGAUGCGGAAUUCCAGGUGUAGCGGUGAAAUGCGUAGAUAUCUGGAGGAACACCGGUGGUGAAGGCGGCAUCCUGGACCAACACUGACACUGAGGAGCGAAAGCCAGGGGAGCAAACAGG
Molecule: ribosomal RNA, 253 nt
Filed under: uncultured bacterium
Lineage: Bacteria
Description: partial 16S ribosomal RNA
Rfam family: Bacterial small subunit ribosomal RNA
Source: RNAcentral